Molecule: ribosomal RNA, 253 nt
Filed under: uncultured bacterium
Lineage: Bacteria
Description: partial 16S ribosomal RNA
Rfam family: Bacterial small subunit ribosomal RNA
Source: RNAcentral
GACAGAGGGGGCAAGCGUUGCUCGGAAUCACUGGGCGUAAAGGGCGCGUAGGCGGGAUGGCAAGUCAGUCGUGAAAUCUCUCGGCUCAACCGAGAAACGUCGGCUGAUACUGCCGUUCUUGAGGGAUGCAGAGGAGACUGGAAUUCCCGGUGUAGCGGUGAAAUGUGUAGAGAUCGGGAGGAACACCAGUGGCGAAGGCGGCACUCUGGGCCGGAACUGACGCUGAGGAGCGAAAGCGUGGGGAGCGAACAGG